UAAUGUUUGAUGUUCUAACGUGGACCCGUGAUCCGGGUUGCGGACAGUGUCUGGUGGGUAGUUUGACUGGGGCGGUCUCCUCCUAAAGAGUAACGGAGGAGCACGAAGGUUGGCUAAUCCUGGUCGGACAUCAGGAGGUUAGUGCAAUGGCAUAAGCCAGCUUGACUGCGAGCGUGACGGCGCGAGCAGGUGCGAAAGCAGGUCAUAGUGAUCCGGUGGUUCUGAAUGGAAGGGCCAUCGCUCAACGGAUAAAAGGUACUCCGGGGAUAACAGGCUGAUACCGCCCAAGAGUUCAUAUCGACGGCGGUGUUUGGCACCUCGAUGUCGGCUCAUCACAUCCUGGGGCUGAAGUAGGUCCCAAGGGUAUGGCUGUUCGCCAUUUAAAGUGGUACGCGAGCUGGGUUUAGAACGUCGUGAGACAGUUCGGUCCCUAUCUGCCGUGGGCGCUGGAGAACUGAGGGGGGCUGCUCCUAGUACGAGAGGACCGGAGUGGACGCAUCACUGGUGUUCGGGUUGUCAUGCCAAUGGCACUGCCCGGUAGCUAAAUGCGGAAGAGAUAAGUGCUGAAAGCAUCUAAGCACGAAACUUGCCCCGAG
This 596-nucleotide ribosomal RNA is filed under the name Salmonella enterica. RNAcentral describes it as "partial 23S ribosomal RNA". It matches the Rfam family "Bacterial large subunit ribosomal RNA", at positions 2208 to 2803 of the family's 2925-position model. The record is from RNAcentral. Lineage: Bacteria; Pseudomonadati; Pseudomonadota; Gammaproteobacteria; Enterobacterales; Enterobacteriaceae. RNAcentral also lists the same sequence under 1 other name.